GACGAACGCUGGCGGCGUGCUUAACACAUGCAAGUCGAACGGAAAGGCCCUGCUUUUGUGGGGUGCUCGAGUGGCGAACGGGUGAGUAACACGUGAGUAACCUGCCCUUGACUUUGGGAUAACUUCAGGAAACUGGGGCUAAUACCGGAUAGGAGCUCCUGCUGCAUGGUGGGGGUUGGAAAGUUUCGGCGGUUGGGGAUGGACUCGCGGCUUAUCAGCUUGUUGGUGGGGUAGUGGCUUACCAAGGCUUUGACGGGUAGCCGGCCUGAGAGGGUGACCGGCCACAUUGGGACUGAGAGACGGCCCAGACUCCUACGGGAGGCAGCAGUGGGGAAUAUUGCACAAUGGGCGGAAGCCUGAGGCAGCGACGCCGCGUGCGGGAUGACGGCCUUCGGGUUGUAAACCGCUUUCGCCUGUGACGAAGCGUGAGUGACGGUAAUGGGUAAAGAAGCACCGGCUAACUACGUG
Molecule: ribosomal RNA, 468 nt
Filed under: uncultured bacterium
Lineage: Bacteria
Description: partial 16S ribosomal RNA
Rfam family: Bacterial small subunit ribosomal RNA
Source: RNAcentral